Molecule: ribosomal RNA, 497 nt
Filed under: uncultured bacterium
Lineage: Bacteria
Description: partial 16S ribosomal RNA
Rfam family: Bacterial small subunit ribosomal RNA
Source: RNAcentral
GAUGAACGCUGGCGGCGUGCCUAAUACAUGCAAGUCGAGCGAACAGACGAGGAGCUUGCUCCUCUGACGUUAGCGGCGGACGGGUGAGUAACACGUGGAUAACCUACCUAUAAGACUGGGAUAACUUCGGGAAACCGGAGCUAAUACCGGAUAAUAUAUUGAACCGCAUGGUUCAAUAGUGAAAGACGGUUUUGCUGUCACUUAUAGAUGGAUCCGCGCCGCAUUAGCUAGUUGGUAAGGUAACGGCUUACCAAGGCGACGAUGCGUAGCCGACCUGAGAGGGUGAUCGGCCAAACUGGAACUGAGACACGGUCCAGACUCCUACGGGAGGCAGCAGUAGGGAAUCUUCCGCAAUGGGCGAAAGCCUGACGGAGCAACGCCGCGUGAGUGAAGAAGGUCUUCGGAUCGUAAAACUCUGUUAUUAGGGAAGAACAAAUGUGUAAGUAACUAUGCACGUCUUGACGGUACCUAAUCAGAAAGCCACGGCUAACUACGUG